This 292-nucleotide ribosomal RNA is filed under the name uncultured bacterium. RNAcentral describes it as "partial 16S ribosomal RNA". It matches the Rfam family "Bacterial small subunit ribosomal RNA", at positions 505 to 796 of the family's 1533-position model. The record is from RNAcentral.
GUGUCAGCCGCCGCGGUAAAACGUAGGUUCCGAGCGUUAUCCGGAUUUACUGGGCGUAAAGCGUGUUCAGGCGGCGCAGUCAGUCGGGCAUGAAAUCUCUCGGCUCAACCGGGAGAGGCUGUCCGAAACAGCUGGGCUUGAGGGCAGUAGAGGGUGGUGGAAUUCCGGGUGUAGUGGUGAAAUGCGUAGAUAUCCGGAGGAACACCAGUGGCGAAAGCGGCCACCUGGACUGUACCUGACGCUCAAACACGAAAGCUAGGGGAGCGAACGGGAUUAGAUACCCGUGUAGUCC